GCUAUGUCUUGCCACCCCAGAUGAUUGAGUCAUAUAUAAAUACAUAUUAUAUAUAUAUAUAUAUAUAUGUAUGUAUGUAUAUAUAUAUAUAUAUAUAAAAUAUGUAUUUAUAUAUGACUCAGUCAUUUGGGGUGGAAAGACAUAGCCG
Pelobates cultripes (western spadefoot toad) is the source of this 148-nucleotide non-coding RNA. NCBI's taxonomy places the organism in Eukaryota, Metazoa, Chordata, Amphibia, Anura, Pelobatidae. The record is from the annotation of a GenBank genome assembly.